Long non-coding RNA from Centruroides sculpturatus (bark scorpion), 196 nucleotides. RefSeq lists it as uncharacterized. The record is from RefSeq and is a predicted model, not a curated record. The transcript has 2 exons. NCBI's taxonomy places the organism in Eukaryota, Metazoa, Arthropoda, Arachnida, Scorpiones, Buthidae.
UUGUAAAUUUAGAAUGACUCAGAAUUAUUUGGUAGGACAAUCAGAGUUAAUAUUGCUAAACCCAUGAAAAUUAAAGAAGGUUCUGUUAAACCAGUAUGGGCUGAUGAUAGUUGGUUAAAGGAAUAUGCUGGCAAAACACUUAAUGAAAGUGAAGAAACAGAAGAUAAUAAUAAAAGACCUGCUGAAGAAUCACUGG